ACAACAAAAGAUUAACACACGGAAGUUCUUCAAGUUUCUUCGCGAGCCAGGUGGCUCAAAGCUUACGACCUCUCAAAGCUUAUUCGUAGACAUCACAAAUGUUCUUCAACACUCACAAAUUUGAAGGAGAAGAUCGAUCCAGAAACAACACGGAGCCCAGUAAAAAGAUUUACUGGAGCGUUUAAAUGGCCUUUGAGGCAGGCAGAGGUAGCUGAGAUAAAUAGUUAUAUUGGGGGCUACAAAUCAUUAUUCAAUUUGGCUCUUCAAGUUGAUCAGUCGUAGGAGGAUCACCGGCCUUAUCAACCGAAAAAUCGAUCUAGAUAAAUUGCAGAUCGCAAAAGGUGCAGCAUUUGAUUCUUAUGGGAUUCAGCAUGAUGAAUGCCUCCAAGGAACCCGUAAAGAGCUGCUUCAGGAAAUCGACCACUGGGUGGAAUCACCGAACGGAAAAUGCAUAUUCUGGCUGAAUGGCAUAGCAGGGACUGGAAAGUCAACGAUCUCACGAACAGUUGAAAAGCAUCUUAAAAAGAGAGGUUCACUUGGUGCAAGUUUCUUCUUUAAACGGGGUGGAGAAGACCGAGGGCGUACUAGGAAACUUUUCUCAACACUCGCUGAGCAAUUAGUAACCAGCCUACCUGUACAGAUCUGUAUUGACCCCUUACAUCCAAAAAGCAAUCGAGGCCGACCCCUAUAUUUCAAACAAAUCACUCAGAGAACAAUUCGAAAAGCUUGUUCGUCAGCCACUGCAUGAAAUGGAACAGGGCCACGCUGUGCGCAUGGUGAUUGUUAUCGACGCACUGGAUGAAUGCGAGCGUGAAGAUGAUGUACGAGAUAUUCUUCGACUCUUACCACGGGCCCAGGAGUCAAACUCAGUACAAGUACGGGUUUUUUUUUUUUUUUUUUUUUUUUUUCAACGAGCAGACCUGAUUUGCCGAUCAGGCUUAGAUUUAAGGACAUCGCAGACGAUCAUCAGGACUUUAUACUACAUGAGAUCCCCGACUCUGUUAUCAAACGUGACAUAUCCUUGUUCCUGGAGCACAGGUUUUCAGAAAUCCGGCAAGAGUCCUCAAAAAGAGGAAUCAAGCUUUCCUUUGACUGGCCAGGAGGUAAUUGCGUCUCUAGUUACAAUGUCGGUUCCGUUGUCUAUCUUUGCAGCCACUAUGUGCCGCACAUUUGAAGAUCCUCAAUGGCACCCUCCGGAGAGUCUAAGAGAGAUCCUCUCACACCGGACUUGCAAUUCUGGCCUUGAUGGGACGAAUUUGCCUGUGCUUGAUCGACUUUUGAUCAAGCAGAGUGGGGUCAAGAGAAAAGAAUUGAUUGAAGAACAUCGAGGGAUGAUUGGGACAAUCAUCAUUCUUGAGUCUCCACUUCCGGUUGCUUCACUGUCGAGGCUCACUGGUAUUUCCAAAGAAUCGAUUCAUGUCAGGCUAGAGUUACUCCAUUCAGUUCUUUCUAUACCCAAUGACAAGACUAAACCGAUCAGACCAUUUCAUCUAUCAUUCCGAGACUUUCUACAUCAUCCGGACACACCUG
This 1530-nucleotide small RNA is filed under the name Histoplasma capsulatum G186AR. RNAcentral describes it as "hypothetical RNA". Lineage: Eukaryota; Fungi; Ascomycota; Eurotiomycetes; Onygenales; Ajellomycetaceae. The record is from RNAcentral.